GACGAACGCUGGCGGCGUGCUUAACACAUGCAAGUCGAGCUGUAAGGCCCUUUCGGGGGUACACGAGCGGCGAACGGGUGAGUAACACGUGGGUGACCUGCCCUCAGCUCUGGGAUAAGCCUGGGAAACCGGGUCUAAUACUGGAUAUGACUCCAUGACGCAUGUUGUGGGGUGGAAAGCCUUGUGCGGCUGAGGAUGGGCCCGCGGCCUAUCAGCUUGUUGGUGGGGUGAUGGCCUACCAAGGCGACGACGGGUAGCCGGCCUGAGAGGGCGACCGGCCACACUGGGACUGAGACACGGCCCAGACUCCUACGGGAGGCAGCAGUGGGGAAUCUUGCGCAAUGGGCGAAAGCCUGACGCAGCGACGCCGCGUGAGGGAUGACGGCCUCGG
This 391-nucleotide ribosomal RNA is filed under the name uncultured bacterium. Its description in RNAcentral is "bacterial SSU rRNA". It matches the Rfam family "Bacterial small subunit ribosomal RNA", at positions 28 to 420 of the family's 1533-position model. The record is from RNAcentral.